UUUAAAUGCCUUGAUAAUAGAAGCUGAUGUCACUUCCUGUCCUGACUCCUCCUCUUCCCUUUCUGUAUUGCAAUCUCAUUGGAGUGUCAUGAUCUCAGCAAUGCACUCGAAUCCCCUUUUAAACCUGCGGGUGGUACAGCAGAAGAAGAUAUAGUUCCCAUUGACAUUGUUGAGGAAACACUAAAGAUGCUCUUUGGCACAAAGAAAAAAAAAGAACAAGAAGAAGAAAAAAUACAACAAUAAUAAUAAUAAUAAUAAUAAUAAUAAUAAUAAUUCUAUAUUAUAAUUUC
Molecule: long non-coding RNA, 290 nt
Organism: Silurus meridionalis
Lineage: Eukaryota; Metazoa; Chordata; Actinopteri; Siluriformes; Siluridae
Exons: 3
Source: RefSeq, a predicted model, not a curated record